This 465-nucleotide ribosomal RNA is filed under the name Vreelandella stevensii. RNAcentral's name for it is "partial 16S ribosomal RNA". It matches the Rfam family "Bacterial small subunit ribosomal RNA", at positions 338 to 795 of the family's 1533-position model. The record is from RNAcentral. Lineage: Bacteria; Pseudomonadati; Pseudomonadota; Gammaproteobacteria; Oceanospirillales; Halomonadaceae.
CCUACGGGAGGCUGCAGUGGGGAAUAUUGGACAAUGGGCGAAAGCCUGAUCCAGCCAUGCCGCGUGUGUGAAGAAGGCCUUCGGGUUGUAAAGCACUUUCAGUGGGGAAGAAAGCCUUGGGGCUAAUACCCUCGAGGAAGGACAUCACCCACAGAAGAAGCACCGGCUAACUCCGUGCCAGCAGCCGCGGUAAUACGGAGGGUGCGAGCGUGAAUCGGAAUUACUGGGCGUAAAGCGCGCGUAGGCGGUCUGAUAAGCCGGUUGUGAAAGCCCCGGGCUCAACCUGGGAACGGCAUCCGGAACUGUCAGGCUAGAGUGCAGGAGAGGAAGGUAGAAUUCCCGGUGUAGCGGUGAAAUGCGUAGAGAUCGGGAGGAAUACCAGUUGCGAAGGCGGCCUUCUGGACUGACACUGACGCUGAGGUGCGAAAGCGUGGGUAGCAAACAGGAUUAGAUACCCGUGUAGUC